RNAcentral lists this ribosomal RNA (1246 nucleotides) under Dicyema misakiense. RNAcentral describes it as "partial large subunit ribosomal RNA". The record is from RNAcentral. Lineage: Eukaryota; Metazoa; Dicyemida; Rhombozoa; Dicyemidae.
UCUGAGGGCAUUGUGCUUCUCACACGCUAAUGCAAAUAUCAAAGAUAUUUCGUAUUAGAUAUCUGAUUCUGUGUUCAGAUACUUGUGUGAAAGUACUUAGCAGGAAGGUAGAUUGUGGUUAUAGCAUAGGCUUGUCUUAGUACCUUUAUGGAACAGGGAUUCACAACUGUUGUUUUGGGAGGCAAUAUUACCGAAGAUCUAAUAUUUAAUUGUGUGCUGUAUUUGGUAUGUGGUUGUUCUUCUCUUUAUAUCCGAUUUGGGGUAUUGGAAGAUCCUCCUUAAUUUGUGGUACAUAACUCUUUAUAGACAUGCAAUUAGUGGUGACAUGCCUUCGUAUAGAUCGAUAACUGUUUACAGAGUUUUAUCAAUAGAUGAGCAUUAGAUUAUGUUCCUCCUCUAUAAGUAAAUUAUUGAGGUCGACAUCUUUCUCCCUUACAGCGGCGUAUAAUGUUUAUCGGUUUUGCCGUUUAAUAGGAAGAAUUAAUAUCAACUCUGUUGUGGUACAUAACUCUUUAUGUCUAGUAAUACGGUGUUUGUGAGUAUUGUAUUUGGGCCGAAAGGUUCGUAGUCUUUUAGUCAUUCUCGUCCUCUAACUAUCAUUCUUUGGCUGUUAACUCGACUUCACCUAUACUGUUUAACAAACACAUUGUCUGUUGUAGUAUGGAUAGCAGAUCGACAAUUCCUCAAUGCAUUGCUGUGUCUAUAGGUUUUUAAUGUAGACAACUCAUUAGUUGCUUAAUUGGCUACUUCACGAUGUUGUAACUGGUGUAAGCAAUCCUGCCUUAGUCUCUAUAAAUCGGUUAGUUGUUUUUGACCUACUGUUGUAAGAAGUAGAGACCCUGUAAUCUGACCUCAUAUGAGCUUUCUUUGGACAAGAGGGUCGUAACGAAACCGACCGUUGUUAUUGUGGCACGUUAUCCUGAAUGUAAUACUCGUACUCGUUAAGAUUAUUAUUGGUUCCAUUCUUAUAGGAUCUUGUGUACUAUAUGUUUAACACUUCGAAUUUAUUUCCGCACGAAUCAGAUCUUCAGGGCUAACAGAACUUUACUAGUGUGCAUCCUGUGUUCUAGAUAACGUUACUCCGUAGUUGGAUCGUCAUCCUAGAUGAUACUUCUUCUAGGCGUAUACUGUUCGUAUCUAUUUGACUUUCUCUGAGUUAAGGCAGCCGUAAGUCAUGCCGGUCCCUACCUUCAAUGGUUGAUGUUUUUAUCGUUUCUGAAGCUGAAACGAAAGUGCAGCUUCAAUG